GACUGUGCAAGGUAGCAUAAUCAUUAGUUUUUUAAUUGAAGACUUGAAUAAAUGGUUAAAUGAGAUAUUUAUUGUUUCUUUAUAUUUUUUAUUUAAUUUUAUAUUUUAGUUAAAAAGCUAAAAUUUUUAUUAAAGACGAGAAGACCCUAUAAAGCUUUAUAUUUUUAAAAAGAUUUUUAAUAAAAUAAUUUAAAAGAUUUUAUUUAAAAAUAUUUUAUUGGGGUGAUAAAAAAAUUUAAUAAACUUUUUUUUUAUUUUCAUUUAUUAAUGUUAUAAAAUUUAUUUUUUAAAAAUAAUUAUUUUUGAUCCUUUAUUUAUGAUUAAAAGUUUAAGUUACUUUAGGGAUAACAGCGUAAUUUUUUUGGAGAGUUCAAAUUUAUAAAAAAGAUUGCGACCUCGAUGUUGGACUAAGAGUAAAUUUUAGGUGUAGAAGUUUAAAAUUUUAAGUCUGUUCGACUUUUUAUUCUUACGUGAUCUGAGUUCAAACCGGUGUAAGCCAGG
RNAcentral lists this ribosomal RNA (501 nucleotides) under Echinocladius martini. Its description in RNAcentral is "partial 16S ribosomal RNA". The stretch from base 344 to 501 matches the Rfam family "Bacterial large subunit ribosomal RNA", at positions 2473 to 2630 of the family's 2925-position model. The record is from RNAcentral. Lineage: Eukaryota; Metazoa; Arthropoda; Insecta; Diptera; Chironomidae.